RNAcentral lists this ribosomal RNA (429 nucleotides) under Actinomycetes bacterium. RNAcentral describes it as "Actinobacteria bacterium partial 16S ribosomal RNA". It matches the Rfam family "Bacterial small subunit ribosomal RNA", at positions 355 to 776 of the family's 1533-position model. Lineage: Bacteria; Bacillati; Actinomycetota; Actinomycetes. The record is from RNAcentral.
UAGGGAAUCUUCCGCAAUGGGCGAAAGCCUGACGGAGCAACGCCGCGUGAGUGAUGAAGGUCUUCGGAUCGUAAAACUCUGUUAUUAGGGAAGAACAAAUGUGUAAGUAACUAUGCACGUCUUGACGGUACCUAAUCAGAAAGCCACGGCUAACUACGUGCCAGCAGCCGCGGUAAUACGUAGGUGGCAAGCGUUAUCCGGAAUUAUUGGGCGUAAAGCGCGCGUAGGCGGUUUUUUAAGUCUGAUGUGAAAGCCCACGGCUCAACCGUGGAAGGUCAUUGGAAACUGGAAAACUUGAGUGCAGAAGAGGAAAGUGGAAUUCCAUGUGUGUCGGUGAAAUGCGCAGAGAUAUGGAGGAACACCAGUGGCGAAGGCGACUUUCUGGUCUGUAACUGACGCUUAUGUGCGAAAGCGUGGGGAUCAAACAGG